GAUGAACGCUGGCGGCGUGCCUAAUACAUGCAAGUCGAGCGAACAGAUAAGGAGCUUGCUCCUUUGACGUUAGCGGCGGACGGGUGAGUAACACGUGGGUAACCUACCUAUAAGACUGGGAUAACUUCGGGAAACCGGAGCUAAUACCGGAUAAUAUUUCGAACCGCAUGGUUCGAUAGUGAAAGAUGGUUUUGCUAUCACUUAUAGAUGGACCCGCGCCGUAUUAGCUAGUUGGUAAGGUAACGGCUUACCAAGGCGACGAUACGUAGCCGACCUGAGAGGGUGAUCGGCCACAUUGGAACUGAGACACGGUCCAGACUCCUACGGGAGGCAGCAGUAGGGAAUCUUCCGCAAUGGGCGAAAGCCUGACGGAGCAACGCCGCGUGAGUGAUGAAGGUCUUCGGAUCGUAAAACUCUGUUAUUAGGGAAGAACAUACGUGUAAGUAACUGUGCACGUCUUGACGGUACCUAAUCAGAAAGCCACGGCUAACUACGUG
RNAcentral lists this ribosomal RNA (497 nucleotides) under uncultured bacterium. RNAcentral describes it as "partial 16S ribosomal RNA". It matches the Rfam family "Bacterial small subunit ribosomal RNA", at positions 28 to 507 of the family's 1533-position model. The record is from RNAcentral.